This is a long non-coding RNA of Manduca sexta (tobacco hornworm), 399 nucleotides long. RefSeq lists it as uncharacterized. The transcript is spliced from 2 exons. NCBI's taxonomy places the organism in Eukaryota, Metazoa, Arthropoda, Insecta, Lepidoptera, Sphingidae. The record is from RefSeq and is a predicted model, not a curated record.
AGAAGACGACCUGACUUAGGUCGUCGUAGUCAAUCAAAUGUGCGAAGAGCUACCUCACGUGCUAACCGCACUGAUGACCAGAGACAGACAGAUCAAGUAAAUAGUCGUAUUGCUAUGUCAGAAUUGCGUUCUUUAGUGAGUGACAAUGUAGGAGAUAGGCUUAGAAUGCAACGAUUUGUUUGUUUUAAAAUCAUUUUAUACAAACAGAGAAAGCGACUUUGUUUUAUACUAUUUGCCAAACGAUAUGGAGAAUUAUACAGAAUAUCGUAUUAUGGGAACAGUAUCACAAAUACGAAUGAAACCAGGUUGUUGCCCAAAUAAAUUUAAUUGUCAGUCAGACGGGAGAAAGCAAACAUGUAACAGUUCUGAACAACCGUCUAUACAUAAAAAACAAGGGAA